This 208-nucleotide long non-coding RNA is filed under the name Capsicum annuum. RNAcentral describes it as "long non-coding RNA (CANN_LNC002557)". Lineage: Eukaryota; Viridiplantae; Streptophyta; Magnoliopsida; Solanales; Solanaceae. The record is from RNAcentral.
UGGUUUCGAUGAUAUCUUUAUGGAUGGAGUUAUAUGCAUGGAAAGGUCUUCUAUUCUAAGAGUUGUUAUGCCAGAUAUCAUAGAGGGUAGUUUUAAGGUCAUUCUUCUUGAGAGGUUCAGAGAUAAGCUCUUUAAAUAGAGGCUGACUUGGAAUGCAUUGGUACCAUCAAGUAAUUAAUGUAGGAACCAUUAUGAAAAAUCCAUUCGG